GACGAACGCUGGCGGCGUGCCUAAUACAUGCAAGUAGAACGCUGAAGGAGGAGCUUGCUUCUCUGGAUGAGUUGCGAACGGGUGAGUAACGCGUAGGUAACCUGCCUGGUAGCGGGGGAUAACUAUUGGAAACGAUAGCUAAUACCGCAUAAUAGCAGUUGUUGCAUGACAACUGUUUGAAAGGUGCAAAUGCAUCACUACCAGAUGGACCUGCGUUGUAUUAGCUAGUUGGUGGGGUAAAGGCUCACCAAGGCGACGAUACAUAGCCGACCUGAGAGGGGGAUCGGCCACACUGGGACUGAGACACGGCCCAGACUCCUACGGGAGGCAGCAGUAGGGAAUCUUCGGCAAUGGACGGAAGUCUGACCGAGCAACGCCGCGUGAGUGAAGAAGGGUUUCGGAUCGUAAAGCUCUGUUGUAAGAGAAGAACGAGUGUGAGAGUGGAAAGUUCACACUGUGACGGUAUCUUACCAGAAAGGGACGGCUAACUACGUG
Molecule: ribosomal RNA, 495 nt
Filed under: uncultured bacterium
Lineage: Bacteria
Description: partial 16S ribosomal RNA
Rfam family: Bacterial small subunit ribosomal RNA
Source: RNAcentral